RNAcentral lists this ribosomal RNA (253 nucleotides) under uncultured bacterium. RNAcentral describes it as "partial 16S ribosomal RNA". It matches the Rfam family "Bacterial small subunit ribosomal RNA", at positions 524 to 776 of the family's 1533-position model. The record is from RNAcentral.
UAUGGAGGGUGCAAGCGUUAUCCGGAUUCACUGGGUUUAAAGGGUGCGUAGGCGGACAGGUAAGUCAGUGGUGAAAUCUCUGGGCUUAACCCAGAAACUGCCGUUGAUACUAUUUGUCUUGAAUAUCCUGGAGGUAGGCGGAAUAUGUCAUGUAGCGGUGAAAUGCUUAGAUAUGACAUAGAAUACCCAUUGCGAAGGCAGCUAACUACGCGAUAAUUGACGCUGAUGCACGAAAGCGUGGGGAGCGAACAGG